UACGUAGGGUGCAAGCGUUGUCCGGAAUUAUUGGGCGUAAAGAGCUCGUAGGCGGUCUGUCGCGUCGGCUGUGAAAACCCGGGGCUCAACCCCGGGCCUGCAGUCGAUACGGGCAGACUAGAGUGCGGUAGGGGAGACUGGAAUUCCUGGUGUAGCGGUGAAAUGCGCAGAUAUCAGGAGGAACACCGGUGGCGAAGGCGGGUCUCUAGGCCGUAACUGACGCUGAGGAGCGAAAGCGUGGGGAGCAAACGGG
Molecule: ribosomal RNA, 253 nt
Filed under: uncultured bacterium
Lineage: Bacteria
Description: partial 16S ribosomal RNA
Rfam family: Bacterial small subunit ribosomal RNA
Source: RNAcentral